This 9731-nucleotide long non-coding RNA is filed under the name Erythranthe guttata (spotted monkey flower). Its description in RNAcentral is "long non-coding RNA (EGUT_LNC002453)". The record is from RNAcentral. Lineage: Eukaryota; Viridiplantae; Streptophyta; Magnoliopsida; Lamiales; Phrymaceae.
UGAGGAAGACCUCCGCCAAGCCCAAGCCCGCUUCUUCCGGCAGCCCAUGGUACGGCCCUGACCGUGUCAAGUACUUGGGCCCAUUCUCCGGCGAGGCACCUAGCUACCUCACCGGCGAGUUCCCCGGUGACUACGGCUGGGACACCGCCGGACUUUCCGCUGACCCCGAGACAUUCGCCAAGAACCGUGAACUUGAAGUGAUCCACUCAAGGUGGGCCAUGCUUGGUGCUCUUGGAUGCGUCUUCCCCGAGCUAUUGGCCCGCAACGGUGUUAAAUUCGGUGAGGCGGUUUGGUUCAAGGCCGGAUCACAAAUCUUCAGUGAGGGUGGACUCGACUACUUGGGCAACCCAAGCUUGGUCCAUGCUCAGAGCAUAUUGGCCAUAUGGGGUGUCCAGGUUGUAUUGAUGGGAGCUAUUGAGGGCUACAGAAUUGCCGGUGGGCCCCUCGGAGAAGUUGUCGACCCACUUUACCCGGGUGGUAGCUUCGACCCGUUGGGUCUUGCUGAGGAUCCGGAAGCUUUUGCCGAGCUAAAGGUUAAGGAGCUGAAGAACGGGAGACUCGCAAUGUUUUCCAUGUUUGGAUUCUUUGUUCAGGCUAUUGUCACCGGAAAGGGACCGUUGGAGAACCUUGCUGACCACCUUGCCGACCCAGUUAACAACAACGCAUGGGCCUUCGCCACAAACUUCGUACCCGGAAAGUGAGCUUAGGAGCACAAAUUGUUGUUAGUAACGUUGUAUUGGUGUAAAUGAGUGAUUAGUUUUCAGCAUUAAGAAUACGCAUUGUGCCAUUUUUUUUCCUUUGGUUUGAUUAUAUUGAUCGAGUAUGAUAAAUUGUAUAAUCUCAAUGUAUCGAACGUUUGCUUCAUUUAGCGGUCUAUAUAUGGACAAAAAGCAUUUAAUUCCUUUCAGGUGAGAUUGCACAAUCAAUUGCUUACUCAAAAAGAUGUCAAUGGCAAAGAAACACCGAGGAGUACAAUUGGACCAUCUUCGUGUCGCUGUUGAAACCCUCACGCCUCCGUCUGUUUCGAUGGCUUAUCCCGUUUAUUCUCUGCAAAUAUUUUCUGAUGGCGCGAGAUAUUUGCAACUCUCCCCCCAUACUAUUCUGCAAAGCUGAGAAUCUGCAAAUUACUUGAGAAAAUUCAGAGCUUACCUUGAGUAUGCGACGCACACGUGUGUAGAGUUGGUUUCAGUCACAAGCCAUCAUAGAUAAUUUGGAUGAUCUUUGGUAAAUCCCCAAUCUCUGGGAAGUUCACUAUUCAUGUAAAUUCAACUGUAAUGAAUUAUUGGAGGAAGAACAUGAACAAGAGAAAUCGAGCUUUUGGUGGGUAAUCCUUCCAUGGUCACUUUUUUAUUCAACAAAAGCAAAUACGUACGAGUUUAAAAAAAUCCAGCCCAAAUCUAUCCUAUCACCACUAACCUACCAAUCCAUAUCACCUGCCAUUGUUCAUGGAUAAUGGAUUUAAGUUAUGUGCGUAUAUACAUGUAUACAUCGAGAACUGAAUAAUCACUGAUGCUUGUUGUCUAAGCUCGAAAAUCUUUUGUUUUUCAAUUGCAGAUAAAUCAUUUAGAUUGAAUUGAAUUGAAAUCCAUCACUAGAUAUUCAAUUGUUAGUUGUUACCAGGCCUUUAACAUUAUGAAUCGACUAACGAAAUCGGAGAAUCAAAGAAUUGACAUUUCAACCGUUGUAUUCCGACUAAGAAUUCCUGAAUAAAGUGGGAAUCACACAUGCAUUAAUUCACACACAUAAUUAGUUGAUAAUAAGUAACCAGAAUAUAUUGUUUCAGCUAAUGUUCGACAAUUGUUUAUGGCACAAUUUAUGAGGGGUAUGGCCGAGGGAGGUCCGAUUCUGUAAGUUCAGUCCCUUUAAAAAUGAAGAAAAACUAACCAUCAGUUGCAAUAUUUGGUGAUUCCUAUGUCGGAAUCUGAUCAACUGAUCUACAAAUAUAAUGGAUAGUCUGUUUAUGGCCAGACAUCAACUGUACUCCGAUUGUAUGCAUGUCUUGUUCAAAUGCACUGUGUAAAAAUCCCGAAUUAGUCCAUUGGAGAUGUUAUAUUUCAAUUAUAUUGUUGUUCUUUGUUAAGGAUUUCUAUCCAUUUAUGCCUAAAUCUUAUCUUCAAUAUUGAAUCUUUUUUCAUUUAUAUCUCGGUGUGUAGAUAGUUUGACAGCUUCGUAGUUGAUAGCUCUUCUAGUUUUUGCAGCUUAGUUGGUACGUGAUACUCAUCGGAUUUGUUACUAUGACUCGAGCACCGGAAAAGCAGAUUCACAUUCGUUGAAUCCCAUAUAAAUAGCAUUAUAUAAAAUAUAUCAAUAAUUUACAUCAGCCUUAAUUCAUUACACUCUUCUAUGUGAACUUCACUUUCCAGGUACGAAGUUUGUGGCAAAUGCCCAGGCAUUGUUGUUAACUGGGUCGGCAAGAUGGUCAGCGAGGUUCUCCAAUGGUCCCUUUCCGGUAACAAUAGCUUGAACAAAGAAUCCGAACAUGGAGAACAUUGCAAGUCUCCCAUUCUUCAGCUCCUUUACCUUUAGCUCAGCGAAAGCUUCCGGAUCCUCGGCAAGGCCCAAUGGGUCGAAGCUACCACCGGGGUAAAGUGGGUCAACAACCUCUCCGAGGGGCCCACCGGCAAUUCUGUAGCCCUCAAUAGCUCCCAUCAAUACAACCUGGACACCCCAUAUGGCCAAUAUGCUCUGAGCAUGGACCAAGCUUGGGUUGCCCAAGUAGUCGAGUCCACCCUCGCUGAAGAUCUGAGAUCCGGCCUUGAACCAAACCGCCUCACCGAAUUUAACACCGUUGCGUGCCAAAAGCUCGGGGAAGACACAUCCAAGAGCACCAAGCAUGGCCCACCUGGAGUGGAUCACUUCAAGUUCACGGUUCUUGGCGAAUGUCUCGGGGUCGGCGGAAAGUCCGGCGGUGUCCCAGCCGUAGUCACCGGGGAACUCACCGGUGAGGUAGCUAGGUGCCUCACCGGAGAAAGGACCCAAAUACUUGACACGGUCAGGGCCGUACCAUGGACUGCCGGAUGCGGCGGGCUUGGGCUUGGCGGCGGUCUUCCUCAUUGAGAACCUGCCGGUGGUGGUGAAUUCGGGGGUGGACUUGACUGCCUGCCCGGCGAAAGUGGGGGAAGACAAGGCCAUUGAAGAGGCAGCCAUUUAUGGAAAUGGAAGGGAAGUGUUUGCUUUCUUGAGUGUGUAUGAGUAGAAAGAGGGAAGUAAGUAGUGUUGGUGAUGAUGACAAGGGAAGAUGGCAGUUAUUUUAUAGCUAGACGGGAGGAGGAGGUUGCUUCGACCAGACACCCGGUGAAAAACACCGGGUGUAGGGUCGAACAAAUCGGAGGAGGAAUGGUGGUUGAUCUUAUCCUGUGAUAUCUAGCCUAUCUCUUCUUUCAUUGGGUUUUCAAGAUCCCAUUGUAUCUAAGAUUUUUUUUUGGAGUUCUGCCAAUAAUAUCUCAAUUGAACACUCUGUAACUGGGACAUUCGGACUUGUACAUUAUUACAGAUAAUGAGCAAAGACAAAAGAAAAGUUUACAUUACUCUUAAUAAAUUAGUACAAGUACAUUUAAACUACAAAAUUAUCCUUUUAUUUGAAAAAUUAAAUAUAUACCCCUAAAAACUAAUUAUGUGUAACAAACUUUAAUAGAGAUUAUGAAAUAUUUUUUUUGCCACUGAAAAAGAAAAUUGUUAGAAUAUCCCAACAUUGAAAUGGAUGUUUUGCCCUUGUAUUAUUUAUUUUUUUUUAAAUGAAUUUUUUCAUAAAAAAAUAUUUUAUAAUUUAGAAGGUUACUUUCUCUUUUUUUUUUUUUUUUUUUUUUGAGAAUAAAGGUUACUUUCUCUUACUCAUACGUGUAUGCAGUGGCGAAUCCAGGAUUUUUGCCAAGGGUGUUCGAAAUUAAAUAUAGUAAAAAAUAUAAUGGUUGGCUAACAGUUUACGGGGGUUCGGGGGCAGCGUCCCCGAUUUUUUUUUUUUUUGAAUACUGUACACAUUAAAUAAUAAAAAAAAAAAAAUUUAAAGGGAUUAGUUUACCAUUUUUGGGCAAAUUUAGAAAAUAUUUAAACAUAAAAUUGGUGAAAAUAUUAAAGGAGUGGUAAACAUAUUAAAGUUGCAAGUGACAAAAUGUACGUUUCAUUAUCAUAUUUUGAAUGUUCAAAAAGAAAAAAAAAACUCACAUAGUUGUAAAUAUAGAAAAAAAAUUGAAAUAAUACAUAUAUAUACAAUAUUUAGAAUUUUGGAAUAAUUUAUAUUAUAUUUAAUAUUAAAGAAAUGGUAAAUAAAUUAAAGUUACAAAUAGCAAAAUAUAUGUUAUAUUAGGAGAUUUUUUUUAAAUAUUAAAAAAUACCUACAUAUUCAACAUUUUUUAAAACAAUUGAAAUAUUGAAUUUUGGAAUAAUUUAUAUUAUAUUUAAUAUUAAAGAAAUGGUAAAUAAAUUAAAGUUACAAAUAGCAAAAUAUAUGUUAUAUUAGGAGAUUUUUUUUUAAAUAUUAAAAAAUACCCACAAAUUCAACAUUUUUUAAAACAAUUGAAAUAUUCUAUGUAAUGGAAAAUUAGGAAUAAAAAAGAAAAAAUAAUAGAGAGGUUCAGACUCUUGUAAAGGUCUCGAACCCUGUACCUCUGCAUGAUUCUAUAGAGCACUUAACCAGUUAAGCUACAGCAAUGCAUUGGCCAGGUUUUACAUUUGCAGUUAUAUAGUACUAAAUAUAUACGAAAUAUAUUUUUUUUAAAAUCAAGGGUGUGCAGUAGCACACCCUUGGACCACACUAGAUACGCCACUGCGUGUAUGUCACUCGUACAAGAUGAAAUUCAGUAAAUAUUCUGGUCAGCAAAUUUUUCUAUUUUUUAUAAUUUCACCAGUCUGGUUGUUAAUUUUCAUCUUUUGGUGGAAGCAUUAGUUGUUUACUACUCUCUUUGAACAUUAUUUACAGUACAGUAAGAAAAGCUCUAGAACAUAAACUAACUAAAAAUAGUACUCUGCGAUUGGAUUCCUGAAGUCCAGUACACUUGAUGUUGUGGCAAUGCUUCAAUAUCAGGAUUUCCAGAUAUCCACACCAGAGCUCCGAUCCUCAUCCAUGCAUCUCGAUUUUCAUAAAUCAAUCUCCAGCCGCACACUUGGCAGAACCUCAUUGGCCAAAAGAUCCCAAGAGGAUUAGUGGUGAUAGCCGUUGCCAACUGUACAUAUAUGCCACGUCAAGAUUACCGAAUAUCGCCUGCCUAGCAAUAGCAACCUAGAUAAGGAUAUUCAUAGAUAAGCCCGAUUCAUAUAAAUACAUUCCCUCGUCUGCCUUAGAAAUAAACCCAUCAACAAACACAAACAGCCUCCUUUGCAAAUAAAUACACAUUCUUUCAUUUCAUAAUAUACAUCAAUGGCUGCCUCUUCAAUGGCCUUGUCUUCCCCCACUUUCGCCGGACAGGCAGUCAAAUCCACCCCUGAAUUCACCACCACCGGCAGGUUCUCAAUGAGGAAGACCGCCGCCAAGCCCAAACCUGCAUCGUCGGGCAGCCCAUGGUACGGCCCCGACCGUGUCAAAUAUUUGGGCCCAUUCUCCGGUGAGGCCCCCAGCUACUUGACCGGCGAAUUCCCCGGUGACUACGGUUGGGACACCGCUGGGCUUUCGGCUGACCCUGAAACGUUCUCCAAGAACCGUGAGCUUGAAGUGAUCCACUCCAGGUGGGCCAUGCUAGGUGCUCUUGGAUGUGUCUUCCCCGAGCUAUUGGCUCGCAACGGUGUUAAAUUCGGUGAGGCGGUUUGGUUCAAGGCCGGAUCACAAAUCUUCAGCGAAGGUGGGCUCGAUUAUUUGGGCAACCCAAGCUUGGUCCAUGCUCAGAGCAUCUUGGCCAUUUGGGGAGUCCAGGUUGUAUUAAUGGGAGCUAUCGAAGGCUAUAGAAUUGCCGGUGGGCCCCUCGGUGAAGUUGUCGACCCACUUUACCCCGGUGGUAGCUUCGACCCAUUGGGUCUUGCUGAGGAUCCGGAAGCUUUUGCGGAGCUCAAGGUUAAGGAGCUAAAGAAUGGAAGACUUGCAAUGUUCUCGAUGUUCGGAUUCUUUGUUCAAGCUAUCGUCACCGGAAAAGGACCAUUGGAGAACCUUGCUGACCACCUAGCUGACCCGGUUAACAACAAUGCAUGGGCCUUUGCCACUAACUUCGUACCCGGAAAGUGAAAUUGACAUAGGUAAUGAUGAAUUCGGAUUGAUUAAUUAAGGAUGAUGUAUGUAAAGUAGUGUGAAUUAUUGGAAUAAUUAAUAUAAUGUGGUUUUAUGUGCUUCAACGAUUUCUAUUGUUGCUUUUGCAUUCAUAUAAACAAACCUAAAUUGAGUUAGAUUACAUUAUAUUCACAAGGAAAUUAUGUUCAUAUUAUUUGAAGAACUUUUGUCCGUGCGGAUAAUCUCAAUCUGCUCAAUAAAUUAUCUGUUCAUCUGCUUACUUGGGAAAGUACUCAACGCCGACGUUUUGGCUGUGGCUAAUGGGCUAAUUACAUCAUCUAAUCAUACUCGCGCGGAUUUGAAGAUCCAGAAGUUAUGGGCCCAACGGAAGUGUUCAGAAAUCUCUCUCUCUCUCUCGCUUAUUUCUCUGUCUUCUUCGGUUCUUCACUCUUUCCUAUUUCAUAUCUUCAUUUCUGCAAAUUAUAUAUAAAAAACCUUCCAAUUCUGCAUGUUGUUCUUUAAACAGUUUCUCUUGAGAUCAGAUUUGAUGAGAUUCGGUGUGCAUAUCACCUGUUUGAUGAAAUUUAUGUGCGAACGAAAUUUGACAUCUUGCAAACUUUUUAGUAACAGAGGUAUUAGAAAAACUAAGAUCAACCAAUAAAAAUAUUAAGCAACUGUAACUCCGAAAAUCAUCAAGUUCUUGAAAGCCAAAAUCUGAAGUUGGGCGUUUUAUAUAUGGGCUGGAUUAGUUCUUGAAAGCCCAAAUAUGUUAAAAAAUUAAUAACAUCGAUUAUUUCUUCCAUUAGAUCAAACCCAUAUACACGAGGCAUUGCAUUAAUGCUUAAUACUAAUCACUCAUUUACACUAGAGAAUUAACAACAAUAGUGGGCUCACAUUAUCCCAACUGAAAACACAUUCACUUUCCCGGUACGAAGUUGGUGGCAAAGGCCCAUGCGUUGUUGUUAACCGGGUCAGCAAGGUGGUCGGCAAGGUUCUCCAACGGUCCCUUUCCGGUAACAAUAGCCUGAACAAAGAAUCCGAACAUGGAAAACAUUGCUAGUCUCCCGUUCUUUAGCUCCUUAACCUUUAGCUCGGCAAAAGCUUCUGGAUCCUCAGCAAGACCCAACGGGUCGAAGCUACCACCCGGGUAAAGUGGGCCGACAACUUCACCGAGGGGCCCACCGGCAAUUCUGUAGCCCUCAAUAGCUCCCAUCAAUACAACCUGGACACCCCAUAUGGCCAAUAUGCUCUGAGCAUGGACCAAGCUUGGGUUGCCCAAGUAGUCGAGCCCACCCUCGCUGAAGAUUUGUGAUCCGGCCUUGAACCAAACCGCCUCACCGAAUUUAACACCGUUGCGUGCCAAAAGCUCGGGGAAGACGCAGCCUAGAGCACCAAGCAUGGCCCACCUUGAGUGGAUCACCUCUAGUUCACGGUUCUUGGCGAAUGUUUCGGGGUCAGCCGAAAGUCCAGCGGUAUCCCAGCCGUAGUCACCGGGGAAUUCGCCGGUCAAGUAGCUAGGUGCCUCACCGGAGAAUGGGCCCAAGUACUUGACACGGUCCGGGCCGUACCAUGGGCUGCUGGAUGCGGCGGGCUUGGGCUUGGCGGAGGUCUUCCUCAUGGAGAUCCUGCCGGUGCCGGUGACUUCGGGAGAGAGCUUGACAGCCUGUCCGGCGAAAGACGGAGAAGAUAGAGCCAUUGAAGAAGCAGCCAUUGAAACUAGGAAGAGGGAAGUGUUUUGCUUGUGUGACUGUUUUAAUUAAUGAGUAGAAAGAGGAAGUGUUGGUGAUAAGGGAAGGAAAUAAAGCAGUUAUUUAUAGUUAGGCGCGGGAGGAGGAAUGGUGGUUGAUCUUAUCUUGCAAUAUAUAUAGAGAUUAGCAGCAUCUCUCUUCUUUCAUUGGAUUUUCAAGAUUUGAUUCUACAUUUGGCCUCUUCUGCCUGCUCAGUUGGCAAAUUAUAGUCCAUCAUUUCAUAUUUUUUCUCUCAAUAAAAUCUAGACCAAGAUUUUUUGCACGCACCUUGCAUUUCAGUUGGUGUCAUAAAUAAAUUAAAUUACAAAAUCCCCCCUCAAGUUUAUAUAAAUUACAAAAUCCUCUAUUUUUUGCAAAGCUAAACUUACCUCUCAAAUUAGCAAAAGUUGUGAAAUAUCCAAAUGCUCUUGAAUAGGGUUGUGCACGGAUCGGUUUUAACUACCAACCAACUCAUUUUCGACCCAUAAUUUGUGACGGAUAAUUAAUCAUCAACCGACCCAUUUAAGUUGGGACGAUAAUGUCAACCAACCCAUGUGUAGUUGGGUCGAUAAUGAUUUUUAAUAUGGUAAAAAGUUGGUUAGUCGGGUAAUAUCGGUCAACCAACUUUAUUUAUGAACUUAAUAUUUAUUAAUUUUAUUUACAGUGUUUAUUAUUUUUAACUUCAAAUUUCUAUUUCAUAUCACAUUUAUGAAAUUUUCUAAUAUUGAUCAAAAUCCUAAAAACAAUAAAUCUAACCUAAUUAUCUCAUUUGAACUAUUUGAAUUUUAAAACAUAUAGCCUAAAAUAUUUGGACGAUUAUUAAUUGUUUAAUUAUUUAUGUUUAAUUGCAAUACAUAAAAUUUUGUAUUCAAAUAUUGUUGAACUAGUCAUACUUAAUUGUAAAAACAUAGUGUUGCAGCAACUAAUAAAAUAUUAAGGAUGACCCAUCAACCAAACCAUCAAUCGACCCUAAAUUGGUUGUCAACCACCACCCAACCCAUGUCAAUUGGGUCGAUAAUGGUUUUCAAUAUUUACUAAAUUUGGUUGGAUGAGUUGGGUUGAUUUUAUGGCUGGUUUUUAACCAAUCCAACCAACGCAGAGCCCUACUCUUGACGAUAUUUUUUUACUUUUUCUUAAUAUGUUUUUUUUACAAUUUCUUAAUAUUAAAACAUAUGUUAUUUUCAAAGAAGAAUAGAGAGAUUUUUUUACAAUUCUCCAGCCACACACUUGGCAAAACCUCAUUGGUCAGAAGCACAUACUCACAAUCACCUGUUGUCCUCUUCUUCAUGUGAUUCUUACAACCUCAUGUAUGAUAGCUCCAAAAUUAUUCAAAGAGGAUUAGUGGUGAUAGCCGUUGCCAAAUGGGCAUACAUAUAUGCCACGUCAAGAUUCCCAAAUGCCACCUGUAUAUCAUAUCACUACCAAUCUAGAUAAUGAUAUUCAUAGAUAAGGCUCUCAUGUCAUUAUAUAACACUAUUAAUUCAUAUAUAAAUACCUUGAUUUGCCUGCCUUAGCAAUCAACCCAAACAAACACAUUCUCUGCAAAUACACAUUCUUUCAUUUGAUAAUACAACAAUGGCUGCCUCUUCAAUGGCUCUAUCUUCCCCAUCCUUCGCCGGACAGGCAGUCAAGUCCACCCCCGAAUUCACCGGCAACGGUAGAGUCUCAAUGAGAAAGACCGCCGCCAAGCCCAAGCCCGCCUCUUCCGGAAGCCCAUGGUACGGCCCGGACCGUGUAAAGUACUUAGGCCCAUUCUCCGGGGAGGCACCGAGCUACUUGACCGGCGAAUUCCCCGGUGACUACGGCUGGGACACCGCCGGACUUUCGGCUGACCCCGAAACAUUCGCCAAGAACCGUGAGCUUGAAGUGAUCCA